AUCCUGGCUCAGGAUGAACGCUGGCGGCGUGCCUAAUACAUGCAAGUCGAGCGAACUGAUUAGAAGCUUGCUUCUAUGACGUUAGCGGCGGACGGGUGAGUAACACGUGGGCAACCUGCCUGUAAGACUGGGAUAACUUCGGGAAACCGAAGCUAAUACCGGAUAGGAUCUUCUCCUUCAUGGGAGAUGAUUGAAAGAUGGUUUCGGCUAUCACUUACAGAUGGGCCCGCGGUGCAUUAGCUAGUUGGUGAGGUAACGGCUCACCAAGGCAACGAUGCAUAGCCGACCUGAGAGGGUGAUCGGCCACACUGGGACUGAGACACGGCCCAGACUCCUACGGGAGGCAGCAGUAGGGAAUCUUCCGCAAUGGACGAAAGUCUGACGGAGCAACGCCGCGUGAGUGAUGAAGGCUUUCGGGUCGUAAAACUCUGUUGUUAGGGAAGAACAAGUACGAGAGUAACUGCUC
This 466-nucleotide ribosomal RNA is filed under the name Priestia megaterium. RNAcentral describes it as "bacterial SSU rRNA". It matches the Rfam family "Bacterial small subunit ribosomal RNA", at positions 16 to 469 of the family's 1533-position model. Lineage: Bacteria; Bacillati; Bacillota; Bacilli; Caryophanales; Bacillaceae. The record is from RNAcentral.